GUAGACCCGAAACCGGGCGACCUACCCAUGAGCAGGAUGAAGCGAAAGUAAAAUUUCGUGGAGGUCCGAACCCACGAGCGUUGAAAAGCUCGGGGAUGACUUGUGGGUAGCGGUGAAAUUCCAAUCGAGCCCGGAGAUAGCUGGUUCUCCCCGAAAUAGCUUUAGGGCUAGCCUCAAGGUGAGAGAUACGGAGGUAGAGCACUGAAUGUCCUAGGGGGUAUUGCACCUACCGAAGACUAUCAAACUCCGAAUGCCGUCAUCUUAUACUUGGGAGUCAGACUGUGGGUGAUAAGAUUCAUAGUCGAAAGGGCAACAGCCCAGAUCGUCAGCUAAGGUCCCUAAAUGUAAGUUAAGUGGUAAAGGAUGUGGGAUUGCACAGACAACCAGGAUGUUGGCUUAGAAGCAGCCACUCAUUCAAAGAGUGCGUAAUAGCUCACUGGUCGAGUGAUCCUGCGCCGAAGAUUUCCGGGGCUAAAACUU
RNAcentral lists this ribosomal RNA (480 nucleotides) under Clostridioides difficile. RNAcentral's name for it is "partial 23S ribosomal RNA". It matches the Rfam family "Bacterial large subunit ribosomal RNA", at positions 709 to 1189 of the family's 2925-position model. Lineage: Bacteria; Bacillati; Bacillota; Clostridia; Peptostreptococcales; Peptostreptococcaceae. The record is from RNAcentral.